AACGAACGCUGGCGGCAGGCUUAACACAUGCAAGUCGAGCGCCCCGCAAGGGGAGCGGCAGACGGGUGAGUAACGCGUGGGAACGUACCCUUAUCUUCGGGAUAGCUCCGGGAAACUGGAAUUAAUACCGAAUGUGCCCUUUGGGGGAAAGAUUUAUCGGGUAAGGAUCGGCCCGCGUUGGAUUAGCUAGUUGGUGGGGUAAAGGCCUACCAAGGCGACGAUCCAUAGCUGGUCUGAGAGGAUGACGAGCCGCGUUGGGACUGGGACACGGCCCGAGCUCGGGGGGGAGGGAGCAGUGGGGAAUAUUGGAGGGUGGGCGGAGGCGUGAUGCAGCCGUGCGGGGUGAGGGAGGAAGGGGUGAGGGUUGUAAGGCUCGUUGGCGGGGGAAGAUAGGGAGGGGAGCGGGAGAAGAAGCGGCGGGUAACUUCGUG
Molecule: ribosomal RNA, 431 nt
Filed under: uncultured bacterium
Lineage: Bacteria
Description: partial 16S ribosomal RNA
Rfam family: Bacterial small subunit ribosomal RNA
Source: RNAcentral